AGUGUAGGUGGUUAUGUAAGUCACAUGUGAAAGCCUUGGGCUAAACCCAAGAAAUGCAUGUGAUACUGUGUAACUAGAGUGUGAGAGGGGUAAGUGGAAUUCCUAGUGUAGCGGUAGAAUGCGUAGAGAUUAGGAGGAACACCAGAGGCGAAGGCGGCUUACUGGCUCAUAACUGACACUGAGGCUCGAAAGCGUGGGGAGCAAACA
Molecule: ribosomal RNA, 207 nt
Filed under: uncultured bacterium
Lineage: Bacteria
Description: partial 16S ribosomal RNA
Rfam family: Bacterial small subunit ribosomal RNA
Source: RNAcentral